ACGACAUCCGGUAGCUGGCGGCGGAGGAAUCGGGGUUCAGUACCAGCGAGUUCGAUAAGGAGCUCGAGUGCCUCCUGUGCAGUCGCCUCCUGGCCGUGGUUGAGGGAUUCAGUGAGGGUCUGCAUCAUGACGGGGAGGAGAUCCUGGAAUUUCUCACGGUCAGCGGCCGACGGGAGGCACUGGACGAGAUUGACAGAGGCGGACAAGGCGGCGACGCGGACAUCAGCUGAUGUCGGGUGGGAGAGGGCGGCGAGGAGGA
This 259-nucleotide unclassified non-coding RNA is filed under the name Hevea brasiliensis (rubber tree). Lineage: Eukaryota; Viridiplantae; Streptophyta; Magnoliopsida; Malpighiales; Euphorbiaceae. The record is from RNAcentral.